RNAcentral lists this long non-coding RNA (3326 nucleotides) under Macaca mulatta (Rhesus monkey). RNAcentral's name for it is "lncRNA (ENSMMUG00000058532.1)". The stretch from base 2131 to 2289 matches the Rfam family "Nuclear enriched abundant transcript 1 conserved region 3". The record is from RNAcentral. Lineage: Eukaryota; Metazoa; Chordata; Mammalia; Primates; Cercopithecidae.
ACCGCCCGCCCAGGCAACCUGGAACCAGGGUCGUGCCCUACGGCAGAAUGUGGGGGGCCUUGGGUCUGGCGCUGCGUGCUCACCCCCUCUCAGAGUGGGAGUCCUGGCUCCUGACUGCCCUGACCUUCUUCCUACCACUGGGCCCAUGAUGGGGGUCCCCAACUUUCAAGAACACAGGGGAUGCGCCUUCUCAGGAAACACGUCCCCUCGCCAGGCCCCUGGGAACAGUCACAACCACGACGCCUGUCCCCGAAGCGCCCGCGCAGCUCCACGGGAUUCCAUGUUGUCACCCACUGGAUCCUGGACGCCAUCAGCCCGCAGCAGGGUUUCCAGACCACAGAAACCGCCUGUUGGGGUGCGGGGCGUUACACGUCCCCUCGCAGCGCCCCGCUGGGCUUCUGGGCCGCCCCGCCCCCACCCCGCGCCCGGACGCUGACGUCACUGGCCGAGCCAGACUCGGAGCCGCCGCCCGAGAGUCACGCGCGCCUCCCGGCGGGACGCGCCCUCUGCAGAGAUCCCUCCGCCGCCGCCUGGAAUUUUCCAGACGUCCUGCCGGCCCUUCUUUCGGGCCUCGUCGGGGCGUGGUGACCUGAGGCGACCCCGGCGGCUCCCGUUGCCCACUUAGGAGGGCGCCCCCGCCCGCCUCUUCCUGAGCCCCUCUCUCUGGGAAGCGCGCCCCGCCCGACCCAACACCCAGGAAGAAAGUCUUCUUCGUCAUGGCAUCCGCCUUCCAAAUGUCACCUUGAGCGCUGUUCGCGAUCCCAAAAAGCACUGCUAAGGAGAAGCGGGGAUAAACUGGGGUCCUUGCGUCGGGGGCGCCUGGGAGACCAUGCACCGCCCGGGUUGUCUCCCCGGGCCGGGUCGGGGAGGGACUUUUUUUCCGGUGGCCGUGGAGGAAUCGUCCCGUUGAACAGUGACCCCGGUGACGCGGCCGAGGGCUAUAAAAGCAAAAGUUGUGGCCGGUCCAGCAGAAGUUAGCGAUAGGGAGGGAUGCGUACUUGGGUCUAGUUGUGGGGGAGGAAGUGACCAGUUCAGGGUCUCGGGACAGACCGGGAGAGAUGGUUGAGUUACAUGAGACUGGGGGCCCUGGGAGUACGAGAAGGAAGCUUGACAAGGAGACUAGGUCUGAAGAAACCACAGUGGGGCAGGCUGCGUGGUGGAAAAUGCCCGCAGGAGCCCCCAGAGAGGACAGCCAUGCUCCAGGCCAGGCUGUCCCUACUGCCUGCUGGAGAGGGAACUUGACCUCUGGGAGGGAGCCGCUCUUGCAUGGCUGAGCGAGCCCCCGUGCGCUGGUCUGUGUGGAAGGAGGAAGGCAGGGAGAGGUAGAAGGGGUGGAGGAGCCAGGAGGAAUGAAUGGGCUGCUGCGGCCCUGGAAACGAUCAGGAAGGCAGGCAGUGGGUGCAGGGCUGCAGAAGGGCCGGGAGGGCCGAGCUUCAACUUGUCCAUGCCAGCGGCCCCUUUUUUUCCAGACCAAGGGCUGUGAACCCGCCUGGGGAUGAGGCCUGGUCUUGUGGAACUGAACUUAGCUCGGCGGGGCUGACCGCUCUGGCCCAGGGUGGUAUGUAAUUUUCGCUCGGCCUGGGACAGGGCCCAGGCCGGGCCCAGCCUGGUGGAGCGUCCAGGUCUGGGUGCGAAGCCAGGCCCCUGGGCGGAGGUGAGGGGUGGUCUGAGGCGUGAUGUGGAGUUAAGGCGCCAUCCUCACUGGUGACUGGUGCAGCACCUAGCAUGUUUGACAGGCGGGGACUGCGAGGCACGCUGCUCGGGUGUUGGGACAACAUUGACCAACGCUUUAUUUUCCAGGUGGCAGUGCUCCUUUUGGACUUUUCUCUAGGUUUGGCGCUAAACUCUUCUGUGAGCUCACUCCACCCCUCCUCCUCCCUUUAACUUACCCAUUCACUUAAAACAUUACCUGGUUGUCUGGUAAGCCCGGGACAGUAGCCGAGUGGCUUUUGGAGUCGGUAUUGUUGGUAAUGGUGGAGAAAGAGAGGCCUUCCCGCUGAGGCUGGGGUGGGGCGGAUCGGUGUUGCUUGCCUGCAGAGAGGGUGGGGAGUGAAUGUGCACCCCUGGGUGGGCCUGCAGCCAUCCAGCUGAAAGUCAUAAAAAUGCCUUAUAGACCGUGGUUUGUUACUAUAGUGUUCCUCAUGGCGAGCAGAUGGAACCGGGAGACAUGGAGCCCCUGGCCAGUGUGAGUCCUAGCAGUGCAGGAGGGGAGACCAUGGAGGAGAGAGCCCGCCUCAAUUGAUGCCUGCAGAUUGAAUUUCCAGAGGCUUAGGAGGAGGAAGUUCUCCAAUGUCGUGUUUCCAGGCCUUGCUGGGGAAGCCCUGUAUUCAGGAGGCAACCAUUUAAAGUUUUCAGAUGAGCUUAUGGGGGGCAAUCUUAAAAUAUCCACAGCAGAUGCAUCCGGCUCGAGGUGCCAUCAGCUUUGAAUAAAUGCUUGUUCCAGAGCCCAUGAAUGCCAGCAGGCACCCCUCCUUUCCUGGGGUAAAGGUUUUCAGAUGCUGCGUCUUCUAAAUUGAGCCUCCGGUCAUACUAGUUCUGUGCUUGGAACCUUGCUUCAAGAAGAUCCCUAAGCUGUAGAACAUUUUAACGUUGAUGCCACAACGCAGAUUGAUGCCUUAUAGAUGGAGCUUGCAGAUGGAGCCCCGUGACCUCUCACCUACCCCCCCUGUUUGCCUGCCUGCCUAUGCGUUGCUCGGAGAAGUUCUUAGCCUGAUGAAAUAACUUGGGGUGUUGGAAAGCUGUUUAAUUUUAAAUGCCUUAGACGGGGGAUGUAUUAGAGGAAGCAGAUUGUCGAGAGUGUCAUUGUGUUAUGCUAAACUCUGGGAGGGUACAAAUUGGUCAUUCCCAAAUCUGUGUGUGAAAAAUGGCAGGUCUAGUUUGGGCAUUGUGAUUGCAUUGCAGAUUACUAAGAGAAGGUAAUGGUGGGUAUACCGGUAGUGCUCUUUUGUUCUUGCUUCGUUUUUUUGCACCUGAACUUCGUUAGAUUUCAUAAUGCUUUUUUGGCAUUUUAAUAAGAGGACCCUGAGGUGGGAGUUGUGGGAGACCGGGAGAAGGGGACAGCUUGGCACUGGUCACGUGGGAUUUGCAGUGUGGGGGAUGGGGGUGUGCAGCUUGGCACUGGUACUGGGAGGGAUGAAGGUGAGGAAGGGGAGAGGGUUGGUUAGGUAUAUAGUGUGGGUGGUAGGAAAUGCAGGUUGAAGGGAAAUUCUCUGGGGCUUUGGGGAGUUUUGUGCGGUGGGUGAGCCAAGAAAAUACUAAUUAAUAAUAGUAAGUGUUGGUUAAGUUGUUGCUUGGAAGUGAAAAGUUGCUUAGAAAGGUUAGAACUU